Molecule: ribosomal RNA, 508 nt
Filed under: uncultured bacterium
Lineage: Bacteria
Description: partial 16S ribosomal RNA
Rfam family: Bacterial small subunit ribosomal RNA
Source: RNAcentral
GAUGAACGCUAGCUACAGGCUUAACACAUGCAAGUCGAGGGGAAACGAUAUUGGAAGCUUGCUUCCGAUAGGCGUCGACCGGCGCACGGGUGAGUAACGCGUAUCCAACCUGCCCACCACUUGGGGAUAACCUUGCGAAAGUAAGACUAAUACCCAAUGAUAUCUCUAGAAGACAUCUGAAGGAGAUUAAAGAUUUAUCGGUGAUGGAUGGGGAUGCGUCUGAUUAGCUUGUUGGCGGGGUAACGGCCCACCAAGGCGACGAUCAGUAGGGGGUCUGAGAGGAAGGUCCCCCACAUUGGAACUGAGACACGGUCCAAACUCCUACGGGAGGCAGCGGUGAGGAAUAUUGGUCAAUGGACGAGAGUCUGAACCAGCCAAGUAGCGUGCAGGAUGACGGCCCUAUGGGUUGUAAACUGCUUUUAUAAGGGAAUAAAGUGAGCCUCGUGAGGCUUUUUGCAUGUACCUUAUGAAUAAGGACCGGCUAAUUCCGUGCCAGCCGCCGCGGUAA